This 506-nucleotide long non-coding RNA is filed under the name Daucus carota (carrot). RNAcentral's name for it is "long non-coding RNA (DCAR_LNC006449)". Lineage: Eukaryota; Viridiplantae; Streptophyta; Magnoliopsida; Apiales; Apiaceae. The record is from RNAcentral.
GAAAUCAUAAACCCGAAUAUCAAUCAACUGCAAAUGCCAAAGACAUGAAAAAUUAUCAUAAAGAUGGUUAUUCAUGCAAUUUUUACAUUAACAAUUUGUAGUACUCGUAGAGACAUUACAUUAAAAAUGCUCUUGUAUUUAUUUAAUAUGAUUUAAAUGUAUUUACUAUCUAAAACAUUAAUAUAUUUAUUUAUCAUUAAUUUUGAAAAAUGCUCUUGUAUUUAUGUAUUAUGAUUUUAAUGUAUUCUAGUGAAAAGUGUCUUGCAGAAAAAGUCAGUACCAUUGAUGAGGAUCAAAUGACUAUUGUAGGAGCUACUGAAAUGGCAAAUAAAGAUAUAGAGAUUGAUGCAAAUACUAGUGCUAAGGACGCUAGAGCUGUGAAGAAGGCUAGUUCUACAUGUCGAAAGAAAAAGGUGCGUUCGAUGGCUGAAAUCCUUCAUGUCAAUGAUGAAGAAAGAAGCGACAAGUUAGCUUCUCACAAUGCAACUCCCAAAGAAUGUGUUGCU